RNAcentral lists this ribosomal RNA (435 nucleotides) under Mimetus sp. GH1629. RNAcentral's name for it is "partial 16S ribosomal RNA". Lineage: Eukaryota; Metazoa; Arthropoda; Arachnida; Araneae; Mimetidae. The record is from RNAcentral.
UGUUCAAAGCAAUUAUUUUGAAUAAAAUUUGCUCAAUGAACUAAAUAGCCGCAGAAUUUUACUGUGCUAAGGUAGCAUAAUCACUUGUCUCUUAAUUAGAAACUAGAAUGAAAGAUUUUACAUCUAACAUCUUUCUUAAAUUAAAACAUAAAAUCUAUAUUAAAUAUUAAAAUAUAUUUAUUUAAAAAAAAGACGACAAGACCCUAUCGAACUUCACUAAUGUUUUGCUGGGGCAGCAAUUUAAACAAAAUCUUAAUUAUUUAAAAAAAAAAUAACCCAAUAAAAUUGAUUAUAACAAGUUACCGUAGGGAUAACAGCGUAAUUUAUUUUUCAAGCUCAAUCUAAAAAUAAGAUUACGACCUCGAUGUUGAAUUAUUUAUCCAAAUGGCGCAAUAGCUAAGAUAGGAAAGUCUGUUCGACCUUUAAAUUUUUACA